This 157-nucleotide ribosomal RNA is filed under the name Monilinia fructigena. RNAcentral's name for it is "5.8S ribosomal RNA". The stretch from base 46 to 157 matches the Rfam family "5.8S ribosomal RNA", at positions 1 to 112 of the family's 154-position model. From Rfam's summary of the family: 5.8S ribosomal RNA (5.8S rRNA) is a component of the large subunit of the eukaryotic ribosome. It is transcribed by RNA polymerase I as part of the 45S precursor that also contains 18S and 28S rRNA. Functionally, it is thought that 5.8S rRNA may be involved in ribosome translocation. The record is from RNAcentral. Lineage: Eukaryota; Fungi; Ascomycota; Leotiomycetes; Helotiales; Sclerotiniaceae. RNAcentral also lists the same sequence under 1 other name.
CAAACUCUUUUUAUCAAUGUCGUCUGAGUACUAUACAAUAGUUAAAACUUUCAACAACGGAUCUCUUGGUUCUGGCAUCGAUGAAGAACGCAGCGAAAUGCGAUAAGUAAUGUGAAUUGCAGAAUUCAGUGAAUCAUCGAAUCUUUGAACGCACAUU